AUUUCAUUAUAUUUUAUUUCCUACAAAAACUUAAUAUAUUUUAUUCUUUUAUAUACAAUAUUAUUUACAGCAAUUGUACAUAAAAUACUCAUUAAUAAUAAACUAUAAAACAACAGAUAUACUGCAUAGAAAUUCAUGUAAUGACCAGAUAUCUAGAUGUAAUACGGUUUUAAUGUAAUGUAAGAUUUUUAAAAUCUGACAUUAAUUAUAAAUAUUAGUACAAAGUGCAGGUAUACAUUCAUAGGUUAUUCAACAAUUCAAAACUGACAACUGGUGUAAAAAACUGUAUCUGGAUGAGGCUAGACAUUUGGAGUGUUGCUACAUGUAUGAUAUCUUCACAUUUUCCACACACACACACACUGAUCAUUGGUAUUAAAAUUGUGCUUAUGACGUUAUGUGUAUGUCAGACAGUAUAAAAAUGAUUUUUCUUAUUUGUAAACUUUAACCAAAGUCUUCUUACCCCUUAUAGUAACAGUGCAGAACAGUUGCUCUGUGUACAUUUAUUGAGAGUUCUCUAGCAUUUUUUUUAACAGACUGUAGAGUUCCAUACUACUUACAUGUAUCCCUAUUUUUCUAGGGGAUACAUUUUUGUUAUCAAAAUCAUGUUAAAUAAACUUUUUACAAACAUUUAGUUCCUCAUGAAGUCAUUGUAGUUAAGUGCCAGUCUGUCUAAGAAUCAGGCAGUGGUGAAAACAUGACCAAAAAAAACCACCCUAUUUGACAUUGAUUUCAGUU
This 735-nucleotide long non-coding RNA is filed under the name Mytilus galloprovincialis (Mediterranean mussel). The record is from RNAcentral. Lineage: Eukaryota; Metazoa; Mollusca; Bivalvia; Mytilida; Mytilidae.